Long non-coding RNA from Seriola aureovittata, 885 nucleotides. RefSeq lists it as uncharacterized. Lineage: Eukaryota; Metazoa; Chordata; Actinopteri; Carangiformes; Carangidae. The record is from RefSeq and is a predicted model, not a curated record. The transcript is spliced from 4 exons.
CUGUAUGCAGGUAAAAACACUUGAGUUAACACACUUGAACUUGAGUGUCUCCACUUAAAAUGACAGAAAUUGUAUUUAUGCACUAUAUACUCAAAUAACUGACAGCUCAACAUUACUACUACUACCUGUUGAGACUCUUUCUUUUCCUACUGCUCUGACUCACACUUAAGUACCCCCCUCCCCACUCUCUCUCGCCCGAAACUCCUUUUUAUAACGGUCCUGCGUAACAUGUGAAACCCAAAUCAGUGCGCAUAUAAACAUACACAAAAGAGUCCCUGAAUACUACACUUACAUGACAAUAUUUAUCAAAACUUUUACAUUCACCCUUUCCUUGUUGAUCAUAUUUAUUUUAAUACUUGUUUUUACAGGUUUUGAGAAUUGACGAGAAGGUUCACAGCAAAAAAGGUGAUACCGAUGGAGAAAAGAGCAAGAAAAAAGCUACAAUUUAAAGAUUUUGUCCCAAAUCUUCCCACUGAUGAGGAAGGGACUUACUCGCAGGGAGCUGCAAAUAAAAAGGAUAAAUCAAAUCCUUCAUACGCAUCCUUACCGAGAACCAGCCAGCCAGAGCCACCAAAAAAAAAAAAAAAAGGCAUACGAAUUUCAGAACCAUCAGAGCUGACUCCACCACGUGAGUAAUAUUGAUGAAAUUUUUCAUCCUGUUAUAUGCAUCUAGAAGUUUUAAAAUACUCAUAUUUUAAGCAAUACUGAGUAUAGCAAAAUUUCCAGAAAAGCUGGGGUUGAAAAGGGCCUUCCCAAUGUCCACAGCCAGUAAAUAUUAGUUUUCACAAUGAGUGAUUUGUCUGUAAUGUAUACAGCAAUGUCAAUGUCAAAUUCAAAUGAAAAGGUGUGCAAAUAAAUAAAAGUUAAAUAAAAUCUCAUUUUAAA